ACCAUAGGGGACUGAGUUGGUAGAGUGUUUGCCUCCCAUGCACAAAGCCCUGUGUUCAAUCCCCAGCUAUGGAA
RNAcentral lists this transfer RNA (74 nucleotides) under Marmota monax (woodchuck). Its description in RNAcentral is "tRNA.Gly". The record is from RNAcentral. Lineage: Eukaryota; Metazoa; Chordata; Mammalia; Rodentia; Sciuridae.